GUAAAGAAGGUGCCUUGCUUUCCCUUCACCUUGGGCCAUGAUUGUAAGUCUCCUGAGGCCUCCUCAGCCAUGCUGAAAUGCCUAGGACCUAGGAGCACAUGAUGGGACGCGGUCAACAAAACAUUCAGAAUGAGCAAAUCAAUAUGGAACGUGUUGUCUGGCUUUUCUUGGCAGCAUGGGUUCUUUGAAGAGUUUUAAAGAGAAUUCACAAUUACUGAAUAUUACAUAAUUUGAAGAUGAGUAAACUGCUUUCAUCACUGCUCUGGCAAUAAAAUCUGGAAAUCUGGAGAACUCUAGCUUCUAAAAACUAUCUUAUGAUCCAAUUCAGAAUGUGUAGUUCUGCACACAUCGUACAUUUCUUUUUCCUAAGCCAAAUGAUCAUCAAUUCAUCUAAAACCAUUGUCAGGAGGCCCUAUGCUAUGCAAGACUAAUUGUGAGUGUGACUGUAUGCAAAAACAAACAAACAAACAAGGGAAAAAAAGCUUGUUAAAAAGGGAAUUCUUUACUCAAGAGGCAGGAAAAAAAUACCUCCUGACUAGGGAAAGCACAUAUUGAUAGUUCCAGCAGCAACAAACCUGGAGAUCUCUGUCAUUUCUGUUCAAGUGCAUGAAAAGCAAGGCAGCAAAAGCUGUUGGUGCUGUGAGCAUAGAAGGCUAAGGACAUACUUCCCAGCAACUUGCUCGGACUGGACGGUGACUGGAGCUGAUUCCUGAGAUGGGAGUGUGAGCUUGGCAGGCUUUGACAUGGAGCCAGGCCAAAGUGGGAGGCCAAAUUUACAGUGUCAAAUAAACCAUGACUUAGGCGAGAUUUUGUUCAAAAGUAUCAUUGGAAGGGGUUGGAUGGUGGUGGGGUGUGGGGAGACUAUUGUAAUAAAUAGAACACUCUACACAUGAGAUCUGCAGGCAUCUCAAGAGUUAGGCAAAAAGUGGUUUUGUUUUAUAGGAGGAAUAAACAAGGAAGUGAUGUGAGGAAGUGGAUGAAGGGGUCCCAAAAGUGGGUAGUGGAUCAGGGAACAUUCUUCUGGAGGCCAGCCUGUUCUUAGGAGUGAGUGAAGACCAGCUCAGGCUGAUGGUGGGCCAAGGUUCUGGGACCUGGGGAAAGGACAGAAACUUAACCAAAGUUCAAUAAAUAAGAAUUUUGUUUCCAUUAAUUUCAGGGGAAAAAAUAGUUCAGCUAAUCUAUGAGGCAAAGAAUAGGAAUUUGGAAGGCCCAGUCUGGCCUGUCAUAAGUAAACAGGGGCAGGGGUGGGGUGAUAUGGUUAAGCUUUGUGUCCCCACCCAAAUCUCACCUUGAAUUGUAAUCCCCAUAAUCCCCACUUGUCAAGGGAGAGACCAGGUGGAGGAAAUUGAAUCAUGGAUGUGGUUUCUCCCAUGCUGGUCUCGUGAUAAUGAGUGAAUUAUCAUGAGAUCUGAUGGUUUUAUAAGGGGCUCUUCUCCCUUCGUUCAACACUUCUCCUUCCUGCCGCCUUGUGAAGAAGACGCCUUGCUUCCCCUUGGCCUUACACCAUGAUUGUAAGUUCCCUGAGGCCUCCCCAGUCAUGCUGAACUGUGAGUCAAUUAAAUCUCUUUCCUUUAUAUUAGGGUGGUGCAAAAGUAAUUGCAGUUUUUGCCAUUGAAAGUAAUAAAUUACCCAGCCUUCAGCAGCUCUUUAUAGCAGUAUGAAAACAGACUAAUACAGGGGGCUUCCAUGAGUCUAAUUUAAGUCAUACAAGGAAGAGGGAUCUUGAAGUUAAGUCAUUUCCUCUAGCACGAAGGAUGGGAGAUUUCUUAGCAUCCUCUGUUUUCUAAGAACACAGGUAAAAUUCAACACUGUCAGCAGUAAGGGCUUCUAAGGACAACUUAAGAGUCUUCUUUUUUCCUUUCCCAACUCUCAUCCUUUCUUUAGGUAGAGAAGAUUUCCUGACCUGUAUCUUUUUCCCUCCCUCUGAAGAACUUCUUUCAACAUUUCUUGCAAGGCAGAUUUACUGGUGACAAAUGCCCUCAGUUUUGUUGAUUUGAGUCUUUAUUUCUCCAUCACCUUUGAAGGAUAAUUUUGCAGGAUACAAAAUUUUACAUGAGUUUUUUAUUCCUUCAAAUCUUUGAAUCUUUACUCCACUCUCUUGCUGGCCUGGUUAUGGACUAGAAGUCUGAUGGAAUGCCCAUCUUUGUUCCUUUCUGGGUGGGUGUCCCCCACCAUGCCACCCCUACCCCAGGAUUUUUUCAAGAUUUUUCCCUAGGUCUUUGUUUUUCUGUAGUCUGAGUAUGAUACGCUCAGGUGUUGAUUUGGGGGUAUUAAUUGUGCUUGUUGUUCUCUGAGCUUCUUUAAUCUAUGGUUUGAUUUUUGUUAAUAAUUUUAGAAAAUUCUCAGUCAUUAUAAUCUUUAAAUAUUUCUUCUGCUCCUUCACUUUCUUUGUUCUCCUUUUGGUAUUCAUUAGUGUGUGUUAUGCCUUUUAUGUCUCACCAUUCUAGCAUAUUCUAUUUCUUUUAAAAUAUUUUUUUUCUUCUCCUUGCAUUUCAGUUUGGGAAGUUUCUGUUGAUGUCUCUUCAAGCUCACUGAUUCUUUCUGUGGCUGUGUCCAGUCUACUCAUGAGCCCAUCAGGGUGCAUGCUUCAUUUUUGUUAUGGAAGUGGUUUUGGUUUCUAAGGUUUCUUUGCUUCUUUCUUAUAAUCUUCAUCUCUCUGCUUACAUUACCCAUCUGUUCUUGCAUGUUGUCCAAUUUUUUCAUUAACAUUUUAACCACAGUUACUUAGAAUUCCUGAUAUAAUGAUUUUGAAGUCUCUGCCAUAUCUGAGUCUGACUGUGAUGCUUGCUUUAUCUUUUCAGAUGGUUUUUUUCCAUGCCUUCUGUCAUGUCUUGUAAUUUCUUGUGAAAAGCCAGACAUGAUGUACUGGGUUAUGAGAACUCAAGCAGACAGGCCUUUGGUGAGAAGUUUGAUGUUUUUCUGGCUAGAAGUUAGUCUGUGCUUACUGUCCCCUGUAGCUGUAUGUGUCAGAAGCUUAUUUGUCCUCGGUCCUGGUUUUUGGCUCUCGUAUUAUCUGUGGGUUUCUCAGGAACUUUUUCUUAGGAGUCUGGUCCUCGAAGUUUUAUUGUGCUGCAACCACCUGCUAUUAUAUGGGAACCCUGUUGAUGUGGGAUAAAGUGUGGGAUGGGGAACCAGUUCAUGAUCCUAUGACCAGGUCUCAGUGUUUCAGUGAACCUGUGACCCUGGGCUGUGACCUUCACCAGUGUUUCUCAGAUGGUUUUUCUCUUCUCAUGCCAGAGAAAGCAGGCUAGAGGGGGCUGCAAUUGGGUCAUUUCCUUUCCCCAAAAUUGGAUAAAGCUCUGGCUUGGUGGUGUUUGUUGUGGAGAAUGACCUGGGCAUAUUUCAGAAUGGUUACUCUUCCCUUCUCCCUGGCCAUGCAUAGGGUAUAUUCACCAUGAGAACCUGGUGGGGUUCCUGGAGGAAAAAAAAAAUGUGUCACACAACCCUGCUCUAGGGUCCCCAGGAGUUUUUAACUCUCACGUUAGUCCACCCUCAGCCCCUGGUGAUUUGUCAGCUGCACCCUUCAAGUGUUCUCACCAGCUCCAGUGGCCUGUGCCUCCGGCGAGCUAAUCUGCACUCUCCCUCUUCACCCAUCUCUUCAGUUUUCAGGGUGCUGAUUUAUCCUCCACCUCAGUUCUGUGAUGGAUCUAAGAAAAGUUUUUGAUUUUCAGCUUGUUUUUAUUGUUGUUCGGAGAGGGGGAGAGAUGACUUCCAAGCAUUUUUAUUUGGUUGGUUGUUGUUUUUAGAUUUUAAUGUGCAUAUAUAUUUAAAUUCUCAUUAGAAUUAUACACUAAUGAUCUCUAAACUCCCAUUUUUUUUUUUUUUCAGUUAACAAGACCUUUCAAAAAAAUUUAUCUGAGCUACCUCCUCUCUCUGAAUGGCUUUUUCCCACUUGAGCCUAGCAAUCUUUCCUUAAGUAAAAAAAGAAAGCUGAGAUAUUCAAAAGAGUCCCCAAAGUUAGUGUCUCACCCAGCCUGUUGUUUGUUAGCCAGUUUCCUUCUGGAGGAGGAAGUUAGUUUAAACAUGGCCUACUUUCCUCCCUUCUCCCUUUCAUUGCAGUCCAUAGUUAUUAAAUUAAAUGUGAACUCAGCUGUUUUACUGAAGUGCUUUUGUGGUGUUUAUGAAUAGAAGGGAUUAGCAUUUAUUGGUAAAUCGUUAUGCCCCAAGAACUGUGUUAGGUAGUCCUCAAGCUUUAACGUGCACAGAAUCAUGGAGAGAUCUGGUAACGUGCAAGCUGUGGCUCAGCUGGCUGGGGUGCAACCUGGGUGUCGUUGUUUUGCGGGAGGAUGGGCUCACAGGGCCUGCCCAGGGUCACUGGUCUCAGUCAGCCUCCACUCACAGGUAAGAACUCUGAGACUGGUGAGGGAAAUCACUUUGGCAUAGCUUCACAGCCAGUCGGUAUUUACACCCAGGGCUUCAGGCCACGCGCAAAGCAGCAGCAGGCGUGCCCCGGAUUAAUUAUCAUCUCCUCCUGCCACAACAGCCGUUUAUUUAGAUUUUUUUGUUUAGGACACUGCUGUGGGUUGAACUGUGUCUCCCUAAAAGGUAGGUUGAUGUCUUAACCCCUGGUACUUGUGAACAUGACCUUAUUUGGAAAUAGGGUCUUUUCAGAUAUAAUCGAGUGAAGAUGAGGCCAUACUUGAGUAGGGGGGCCCUUAAUCCAACAUGACAGGUAUCCUGUAAGAAGAGAAAAGGAGACAUGGACACACAUACAGAGGAGAAUGCCGCAUAGCAGAGAUGGGAGCGGUGUGGCUCCAAGUCAUGUCAAGCAUUGCCAGCCACUACCAGAGGCCAGAACGGCCAAGAAGGCGCCUCCCCUGGAACCUGCAGAGAGACCGUGACCCUCUCGGCACCUUGAUUGAGGAUUUCUAGCCUCCAUAACUGCGAGAUAAUACAUCUCUGUUGUUUUAAGCUUCCAAGUUUGACGUGAUUUGUGAUAGCAGCCCUAGGAAAUGGAUAAAAAUACUGAGUAUACUGCCUUGGUUUUCCGUGUUGCUGACUGUGUCUGUCUGCCCUCUAGACUGUCAUCAGGCAAACUCAGUGACUGCUAAAAGCGCAUCUGACCCACACAAGCCCUCAGCCCACCUUGCUGUUUACUUGGCUUUCAGCAGUAGGAGAAAAAAUGAUGUUUAUAUUAUAAAAGUAAAUCAGCUGUAUUGUACUUUACAGCAGAGAAACCCUUUGUUACUCAUAUUUUCAAAUACUUUUUAAGAGAUGUUUAAAGCAUGGAAAGUAUUUUUAGCAUUUAAAGUAUUUGCAUUUUUAAUAAAAAAAUUUCUCCACAG
This 5285-nucleotide long non-coding RNA is filed under the name Homo sapiens (human). Its description in RNAcentral is "HSALNT0375096". The record is from RNAcentral. Lineage: Eukaryota; Metazoa; Chordata; Mammalia; Primates; Hominidae.